GAUGAACGCUGGCGGCGUGCUUAACACAUGCAAGUCGAACGAUGAAGCCCAGCUUGCUGGGUGGAUUAGUGGCGAACGGGUGAGUAACACGUGAGUAACCUGCCCUUAACUCUGGGAUAAGCCUGGGAAACUGGGUCUAAUACCGGAUAGGAGCGUCCACCGCAUGGUGGGUGUUGGAAAGAUUUAUCGGUUUUGGAUGGACUCGCGGCCUAUCAGCUUGUUGGUGAGGUAAUGGCUCACCAAGGCGACGACGGGUAGCCGGCCUGAGAGGGUGACCGGCCACACUGGGACUGAGACACGGCCCAGACUCCUACGGGAGGCAGCAGUGGGGAAUAUUGCACAAUGGGCGCAAGCCUGAUGCAGCGACGCCGCGUGAGGGAUGACGGCCUUCGGGUUGUAAACCUCUUUCAGUAGGGAAGAAGCGAAAGCGACGGUACCUGCAGAAGAAGCACCGGCUAACUACGUG
Molecule: ribosomal RNA, 466 nt
Filed under: uncultured bacterium
Lineage: Bacteria
Description: partial 16S ribosomal RNA
Rfam family: Bacterial small subunit ribosomal RNA
Source: RNAcentral